GGGGAUGUAGUUUAGAAAUGAGGUAGAAUACUUCUUUACACGGAAGAGAUGAAGGUUCAAACCCUUCCGUCCCCA
Molecule: transfer RNA, 75 nt
Filed under: Parcubacteria bacterium DG_74_2
Lineage: Bacteria; Candidatus Parcubacteria
Description: tRNA-Val
Rfam family: tRNA
About the family: Transfer RNA (tRNA) molecules are approximately 80 nucleotides in length. Their secondary structure includes four short double-helical elements and three loops (D, anti-codon, and T loops).
Source: RNAcentral